This 2189-nucleotide long non-coding RNA is filed under the name Sus scrofa (pig). Its description in RNAcentral is "lncRNA (ENSSSCG00055018548.1)". Lineage: Eukaryota; Metazoa; Chordata; Mammalia; Artiodactyla; Suidae. The record is from RNAcentral.
CUCAUGGCAAUGCUGGAUCCCUAACCCACUGAGAGAGGCCAGGGAUUGAACCCAAAUCCUCAUGGAUGCGAGUCAGAUUUGUUUCCACUGAGCCAUGAUGGGAACUCCUAACCUGAUUUUUUAAAUGAGGAAGAUGAUCCACACUCCAAAUGAAGUAGCUGGAACCAAGCAUGAGAACAAUUAUUGUGCUUUUUCCAAUUCAUUACAUCAGAAGUCUAAACACUAACCCCCGGGGCCAAGCACCACUCACCUGUUCCUGUACAACCCUUUAGCUAAGAAUGGUUUUCACACUUUCAAAAAAUUAGGGGGGAAAAAUCAAAAGACAAAUAUCAUGACUUGUAAAAACUAUAUGAAAUUUUAAAUUUCGGUGUCUGCUUAACAACCUUUUCUUGGUACCCGGCCACGCCUAUUAUUUUCCCAUUGUCUAGGGCUGCUCAUUCACCUUGUCAGCAGAGCUGAGUAGUUGCCAGAAAGUAUGGCCUAAAGAGCCUAAAAGACUUAUUAGCUGACCCUUUACAGAAAAAAAAUUUGCCAAGCUCUGCACGGAAGAGUCAGACCCAAUUAGAAAUAUCAUCUCGGAGUUCCCAUCGUGGCUCAGUGGUAAAUGAAUCCGACUAGGAACCAUGAGAUUGCAGGUUCGAUCCCUGGCCUUGCUCAGUGGGUUAAGGAUCCGGCGUUGCCAUGAGCUGUGGUGUAGGUUGCAGAUGCGGCUCAGAUCCCGCGUUGCAGUGGCUCUGGCGUAGGCCGGUGGCUACAGCUCAGAUUAGACCCCUAGCCUGGGAACCUCCAUAUGCCGAGGGAGCGGCCCAAGAAACGUCAAAAAGACAAAAAAAAAAAAAAGAAAUAUCAUCUCUAUGAAGACAACCAGAGUUUGUAAUGGUUUGCUAUCAACGAACUCAAAAAUUCGUUCAAAAGUAGUUUCUAUAUGCAGCUCUCCUCCCCACAGAACUCUCCUUUCUAGACAUCUCAGCAUUGUAUAGGCAGUGAUGUUACAAGGAGAAAGUAUUGAAUUUGGACUGCCGACAGUCACAUACAGCAUCUUUAAGAUUGAGACUCUUUUCCCCUUCAAGGGCAAAACAUCCUGCCUGGCUUUUUUUUUUUUUUUUUUUUUUUUUUUUUUUUUUUUUUUUUUGCCUUAAGGUUUGUUUAUACUCAGCAGGAGGAAAGGUAAGGAGAUAAAAGAAAUGCAGAAUGAAUAAAGGAAGACAAGGCUACAGCAAAACACAGAGAAGGCAAGAUUAGAGGAGCGAGCCCCAGGGAAGAAAGUUUACAAGUUAGCAACGGAGUGGAUGGAAAGAGAGAUUACACCUGGAACACAGUGGCCAGAAGGAAGACUCGCUGGAGACGAAAUUGCCACAGGCAAAGGUUAUUUCAAAUGCACAAAUCUCCCAACCAACGGGUGGAUCAAGUCUCUGAAAGAAUGAAUUUAAUUCUGGCGAUUAGCUUCUUUAGUGGCUGGGAAUCCCACCGGUAUUUCGACCCAGACCCUUGCUGGGGGGUCAGUUAGAACAGGGACCACAGGGAGUGCAAAACAUCUUGCAUCUGCAAUUCCUUCUUUCUGGGGCUCACUUUCCAGCCAGGGGAUGGUGAAAAAGGACUCAGGGCCCGUGUCAGCCUGAAAACACCCCUGACACUUAGACGCUUGACAGGCAGAGAAGUGGAGCUCUUUUUUUUUUUUUUUUUUUGCAUCCCCCAUAGUAAUCUUAUGAAGAGUAAAGAAUGGCCAAUUAUUGAACGUUUACGAUAAGCCACGUCCCACAUUGAAUCCUUUCCCUGUGUUAGCUUCUUUAAUCCUUGUAACAACCCUUUGAGCUAAGUAAUAUCCUGGAGACUUUGAAGAGGUUUAGAGAAGUCAAAUGACAAGGCUGGGAAAAAGUCAAAUGACAAGGCUGGAAAGAAGCUGGGAAGAACCCGGGAAGAACCCACAGUGAUUUUAUCAGCCUCCAAAGUCCACACUCUAAAACCACCAUGAGACACCGACUGCCAGUGAGUAAUGAACCCAACUAGUAUCCAUGAGAAUGCCAGUUCGAUCCCUAGCCCCGCUCAGUGAGUUAAGAAUCUGGUGUUGUGCCAUGAGCUGUGGUGUACGUUGCAGACAUGGCUUGGAUCCCUUGUUGUGGCUGUGGCAUAGGCUGGCAGCUGUAGCUCUAAUUCAGCCCCUAGCCUGGGAAGUUCCAUAUACUGCAAGU